RNAcentral lists this ribosomal RNA (253 nucleotides) under uncultured bacterium. RNAcentral's name for it is "partial 16S ribosomal RNA". It matches the Rfam family "Bacterial small subunit ribosomal RNA", at positions 524 to 776 of the family's 1533-position model. The record is from RNAcentral.
UACAGAGGGGGCAAGCGUUGUUCGGAAUUACUGGGCGUAAAGGGCGCGUAGGCGGCCGCCUAAGUCAGACGUGAAAUCCCUCGGCUCAACCGGGGAACUGCGUCCGAUACUGGUUGGCUUGAGUGCAGGAGAGGAAUGCGGAAUUCCAGGUGUAGCGGUGAAAUGCGUAGAUAUCUGGAGGAACACCGGUGGCGAAGGCGGCAUUCUGGACUGUAACUGACACUGAGGAACGAAAGCCAGGGGAGCAAACGAG